Molecule: long non-coding RNA, 228 nt
Organism: Mastomys coucha (southern multimammate mouse)
Lineage: Eukaryota; Metazoa; Chordata; Mammalia; Rodentia; Muridae
Exons: 3
Source: RefSeq, a predicted model, not a curated record
UCGAGAAAGAAUGCGCAGCCACUCGGUCAGCACCCAAGAGUCUACACACAGGAGGACGCCUCUGCGCCACGCAGACCUGGCCCAGAACCUGAGGGCUGAAAAGAUUGAGCAGCAAGUGACUCUGGAAGAGCUACGACGCUUAAAUGCACUCUUUCAGGAACAUGAAAAGAAAGGAAGCCAGCUGCUGGAUAUGGAAACAUUCAAGUGCAUAAUGAAGCAGAGUAUGAG